Molecule: microRNA, 26 nt
Filed under: Tribolium castaneum (red flour beetle)
Lineage: Eukaryota; Metazoa; Arthropoda; Insecta; Coleoptera; Tenebrionidae
Description: tca-miR-3838-3p
Source: miRBase by way of RNAcentral
UUUGAGUCCGAUCCUGUCUACCUGCC